RNAcentral lists this ribosomal RNA (104 nucleotides) under Telmatherina cf. obscura ZSM 33126. RNAcentral's name for it is "partial 12S ribosomal RNA". Lineage: Eukaryota; Metazoa; Chordata; Actinopteri; Atheriniformes; Telmatherinidae. The record is from RNAcentral.
AGCGCACUCACUUACUGCUACUCACUGCUUAGACACAGCUGAGACAGUACAUAAAAAAUUAUAUCUCGGUAAAGGGGAGGCAAGUCGUAACAUGGUAAGUGUAC